This 201-nucleotide unclassified non-coding RNA is filed under the name Hevea brasiliensis (rubber tree). The record is from RNAcentral. Lineage: Eukaryota; Viridiplantae; Streptophyta; Magnoliopsida; Malpighiales; Euphorbiaceae.
ACCUAGAGGCGAUGGAUCUUGACCAGAACCGAUGAGGCAACGCCCGACGGGCCCUUUCGUGAUGAACAUUUGUGGCAUGGUAUCGACGGGGCUGGUAUCGGCACUUGGGAUCUCGACAUUUCAACCCGCAAAUUGAUCUGGUCCGCUGCGGCACGAAGCCUACUCGGCGUUUCAAACGAUCAGCCUGUGAGUUACGAAUUU